This 440-nucleotide ribosomal RNA is filed under the name uncultured bacterium. Its description in RNAcentral is "partial 16S ribosomal RNA". It matches the Rfam family "Bacterial small subunit ribosomal RNA", at positions 338 to 795 of the family's 1533-position model. The record is from RNAcentral.
CCUACGGGAGGCAGCAGUGGGGAAUAUUGCACAAUGGGGGAAACCCUGAUGCAGCGACGCCGCGUGAGUGAAGAAGUAUUUCGGUAUGUAAAGCUCUAUCAGCAGGGAAGAAAAUGACGGUACUUGAGUAAGAAGCCCCGGCUAACUACGUGCCAGCAGCCGCGGUAAUACGUAGGGGGCAAGCUUUAUCCGGAUUUACUGGGUGUAAAGGGAGCGUAGACGGCAGUGCAAGUCUGGAGUGAAAGGCGGGGGCUCAAACCCCGGACUGCUCUGGAAACUGUACGGCUGGAGUGCAGGAGAGGUAAGUGGAAUUCCUGGUGUAGCGGUGAAAUGCGUAGAUAUUAGGAGGAACACCAGUGGCGAAGGCGGGUUACUGGACUGUAACUGACGUUGAGGCUCGAAGGCGUGGGGAGCGAACAGGAUUAGAUACCCUAGUAGUC